AGUGAACGCUGGCGGUAGGCCUAACACAUGCAAGUCGAACGGCAGCACAGGAGAGCUUGCUCUCUGGGUGGCGAGUGGCGGACGGGUGAGGAAUACAUCGGAAUCUACUCUGUCGUGGGGGAUAACGUAGGGAAACUUACGCUAAUACCGCAUACGACCUACGGGUGAAAGCAGGGGAUCUUCGGACCUUGCGCGAUUGAAUGAGCCGAUGUCGGAUUAGCUAGUUGGCGGGGUAAAGGCCCACCAAGGCGACGAUCCGUAGCUGGUCUGAGAGGAUGAUCGGCCACACUGGAACUGAGACACGGUCCAGACUCCUACGGGAGGAAGCAGUGGGGAAUAUUGGACAAUGGGCGCAAGCCUGAUCCAGCCAUACCGCGUGGGUGAAGAAGGCCUUCGGGUUGUAAAGCCCUUUUGUCGGGAAAGAAAUCCAGCUGGCUAAUACCCGGUUGGGAUGACGGUACCCAAAGAAUAAGCACCGGCUAACUUCGUGCCAGCAGCCGCCGUAA
This 506-nucleotide ribosomal RNA is filed under the name uncultured bacterium. RNAcentral describes it as "partial 16S ribosomal RNA". It matches the Rfam family "Bacterial small subunit ribosomal RNA", at positions 29 to 523 of the family's 1533-position model. The record is from RNAcentral.